This 253-nucleotide ribosomal RNA is filed under the name uncultured bacterium. RNAcentral's name for it is "partial 16S ribosomal RNA". It matches the Rfam family "Bacterial small subunit ribosomal RNA", at positions 524 to 776 of the family's 1533-position model. The record is from RNAcentral.
UACGAAGGGGGCUAGCGUUGCUCGGAAUCACUGGGCGUAAAGCGCACGUAGGCGGAUUUGUCAGUCAGGGGUGAAAUCCCGGGGCUCAACCUCGGAACUGCCUUUGAUACAGCAAGUCUUGAGUUCGAGAGAGGUGGGUGGAAUUCCUAGUGUAGAGGUGAAAUUCGUAGAUAUUAGGAAGAACACCGGUGGCGAAGGCGGCCCACUGGCUCGAUACUGACGCUGAGGUGCGAAAGCGUGGGGAGCAAACAGG